RNAcentral lists this transfer RNA (77 nucleotides) under Opitutales bacterium. Its description in RNAcentral is "tRNA-Val". It matches the Rfam family "tRNA". Rfam says of the family: Transfer RNA (tRNA) molecules are approximately 80 nucleotides in length. RNAcentral also lists the same sequence under 3 other names. Lineage: Bacteria; Pseudomonadati; Verrucomicrobiota; Opitutia; Opitutales. The record is from RNAcentral.
GGGGGCGUAGCUCAGUUGGUUAGAGCGCAUCCUUGACAUGGAUGAGGUCGCUGGUUCGACUCCAGUCGCUCCCACCA